This 2539-nucleotide ribosomal RNA is filed under the name Klebsiella pneumoniae. RNAcentral describes it as "partial 23S ribosomal RNA". It matches the Rfam family "Bacterial large subunit ribosomal RNA", at positions 1 to 2558 of the family's 2925-position model. Lineage: Bacteria; Pseudomonadati; Pseudomonadota; Gammaproteobacteria; Enterobacterales; Enterobacteriaceae. The record is from RNAcentral.
GGGUUGUGAGGUUAAGCGACUAAGCGUACACGGUGGAUGCCCUGGCAGUCAGAGGCGAUGAAGGACGUGCUAAUCUGCGAAAAGCGUCGGUAAGGUGAUAUGAACCGUUAUAACCGGCGAUGUCCGAAUGGGGAAACCCAGUGCAAUUCGUUGCACUAUCGUUAACUGAAUACAUAGGUUAACGAGGCGAACCGGGGGAACUGAAACAUCUAAGUACCCCGAGGAAAAGAAAUCAACCGAGAUUCCCCCAGUAGCGGCGAGCGAACGGGGAGCAGCCCAGAGUCUGAAUCAGCUUGUGUGUUAGUGGAACGGUCUGGAAAGUCCGACGGUACAGGGUGAUAGUCCCGUACACCAAAAUGCACAGGCUGUGAACUCGAAGAGUAGGGCGGGACACGUGGUAUCCUGUCUGAAUAUGGGGGGACCAUCCUCCAAGGCUAAAUACUCCUGACUGACCGAUAGUGAACCAGUACCGUGAGGGAAAGGCGAAAAGAACCCCGGCGAGGGGAGUGAAAAAGAACCUGAAACCGUGUACGUACAAGCAGUGGGAGCACCUUCGGGUGUGACUGCGUACCUUUUGUAUAAUGGGUCAGCGACUUAUAUUCUGUAGCAAGGUUAACCGUAUAGGGGAGCCGCAGGGAAACCGAGUCUUAACUGGGCGUUAAGUUGCAGGGUAUAGACCCGAAACCCGGUGAUCUAGCCAUGGGCAGGUUGAAGGUUGGGUAACACUAACUGGAGGACCGAACCGACUAAUGUUGAAAAAUUAGCGGAUGACUUGUGGCUGGGGGUGAAAGGCCAAUCAAACCGGGAGAUAGCUGGUUCUCCCCGAAAGCUAUUUAGGUAGCGCCUCGUGAACUCAUCUUCGGGGGUAGAGCACUGUUUCGGCUAGGGGGUCAUCCCGACUUACCAACCCGAUGCAAACUACGAAUACCGAAGAAUGUUAUCACGGGAGACACACGGCGGGUGCUAACGUCCGUCGUGAAGAGGGAAACAACCCAGACCGCCAGCUAAGGUCCCAAAGUCAUGGUUAAGUGGGAAACGAUGUGGGAAGGCACAGACAGCCAGGAUGUUGGCUUAGAAGCAGCCAUCAUUUAAAGAAAGCGUAAUAGCUCACUGGUCGAGUCGGCCUGCGCGGAAGAUGUAACGGGGCUAAACCAUGCACCGAAGCUGCGGCAGCGACACUAUGUGUUGUUGGGUAGGGGAGCGUUCUGUAAGCCUGCGAAGGUGUGCUGUGAGGCAUGCUGGAGGUAUCAGAAGUGCGAAUGCUGACAUAAGUAACGAUAAAGCGGGUGAAAAGCCCGCUCGCCGGAAGACCAAGGGUUCCUGUCCAACGUUAAUCGGGGCAGGGUGAGUCGACCCCUAAGGCGAGGCCGAAAGGCGUAGUCGAUGGGAAACAGGUUAAUAUUCCUGUACUUGGUGUUACUGCGAAGGGGGGACGGAGAAGGCUAUGUUAGCCGGGCGACGGUUGUCCCGGUUUAAGCAUGUAGGCUGGUUAUCCAGGCAAAUCCGGAUAAUCAAGGCUGAGGUGUGAUGACGAGGCACUACGGUGCUGAAGUAACAAAUGCCCUGCUUCCAGGAAAAGCCUCUAAGCAUCAGGUAACAUCAAAUCGUACCCCAAACCGACACAGGUGGUCAGGUAGAGAAUACCAAGGCGCUUGAGAGAACUCGGGUGAAGGAACUAGGCAAAAUGGUGCCGUAACUUCGGGAGAAGGCACGCUGGUGUGUAGGUGAAGUCCCUGCGGAUGGAGCUGAGACCAGUCGAAGAUACCAGCUGGCUGCAACUGUUUAUUAAAAACACAGCACUGUGCAAACACGAAAGUGGACGUAUACGGUGUGACGCCUGCCCGGUGCCGGAAGGUUAAUUGAUGGGGUUAUCCGUAAGGAGAAGCUCUUGAUCGAAGCCCCGGUAAACGGCGGCCGUAACUAUAACGGUCCUAAGGUAGCGAAAUUCCUUGUCGGGUAAGUUCCGACCUGCACGAAUGGCGUAAUGAUGGCCAGGCUGUCUCCACCCGAGACUCAGUGAAAUUGAACUCGCUGUGAAGAUGCAGUGUACCCGCGGCAAGACGGAAAGACCCCGUGAACCUUUACUAUAGCUUGACACUGAACAUUGAGCCUUGAUGUGUAGGAUAGGUGGGAGGCUUUGAAGCGUGGACGCCAGUCUGCGUGGAGCCAACCUUGAAAUACCACCCUUUAAUGUUUGAUGUUCUAACGUUGGCCCCUGACCGGGGUUGCGGACAGUGUCUGGUGGGUAGUUUGACUGGGGCGGUCUCCUCCCAAAGCGUAACGGAGGAGCACGAAGGUUAGCUAAUCCUGGUCGGACAUCAGGAGGUUAGUGCAAUGGCAUAAGCUAGCUUGACUGCGAGCGUGACGGCGCGAGCAGGUGCGAAAGCAGGUCAUAGUGAUCCGGUGGUUCUGAAUGGAAGGGCCAUCGCUCAACGGAUAAAAGGUACUCCGGGGAUAACAGGCUGAUACCGCCCAAGAGUUCAUAUCGACGGCGGUGUUUGGCACCUCGAUGUCGGCUCAUCACAUCCUGGGGCUGAAG